Molecule: ribosomal RNA, 468 nt
Filed under: uncultured bacterium
Lineage: Bacteria
Description: partial 16S ribosomal RNA
Rfam family: Bacterial small subunit ribosomal RNA
Source: RNAcentral
GACGAACGCUGGCGGCGUGCUUAACACAUGCAAGUCGAACGGAAAGGCCCUGCUUUUGUGUGGUGCCAGAGUGGCGAACGGGUGAGUAACACGUGAGUAUCCUGCCCUUGACUGUGGGAUAACUUCAGGCAACUGGUGAUAAUACCGGAUAGGAGCUCGUGCUGCAUGGUGGGGGUUGGAAAGUUUCGGCGGUUGGGGACGGACUGUCGGCUUAUCAGCUUGUUGGGGGGGUAUUGGCUUACCAAGGCUUUGACGGAUAGCCGGCGUGAGAGGGCGACCGGGGACAUGAGGCCUGAGAGACGGAGCAGACGCCUACGGGAGGCAGCGGUGGGGAGUAUGGCACAAUGGGGGGACGCCUGUGGCAGAGACGCCGCGUGUGGGAUGACGGCUUUCUGGGUGUAAACCGCUGUCGCCUGAGACGAAGCGUGAGUGACGGUAAUGGGUAAAGAAGCACCGGCUAACUACGUG